Peromyscus californicus insignis is the source of this 103-nucleotide small nuclear RNA. The record is from RefSeq and is a predicted model, not a curated record. NCBI's taxonomy places the organism in Eukaryota, Metazoa, Chordata, Mammalia, Rodentia, Cricetidae.
UCGCUUUGGCAGCACAUAUACUAAACCUGGAAUGAUACAGAGAAGAUUAGCAUGGCCCCUGUGCGAUGAUGACACACAAUUAGGUGAAGUAGUUCAUAGUUUU